This 71-nucleotide transfer RNA is filed under the name Aeriscardovia sp. RNAcentral's name for it is "tRNA-Cys". It matches the Rfam family "tRNA". Rfam says of the family: Transfer RNA (tRNA) molecules are approximately 80 nucleotides in length. Their secondary structure includes four short double-helical elements and three loops (D, anti-codon, and T loops). The record is from RNAcentral. Lineage: Bacteria; Bacillati; Actinomycetota; Actinomycetes; Bifidobacteriales; Bifidobacteriaceae.
GGUGGGUUAACCAAGCGGUUAGGUAACGGUCUGCAAAACCGUUUAGAUGAGUUCGACUCUCAUACCCACCU